RNAcentral lists this ribosomal RNA (520 nucleotides) under uncultured Glomus. Its description in RNAcentral is "bacterial SSU rRNA". It matches the Rfam family "Eukaryotic small subunit ribosomal RNA", at positions 569 to 1084 of the family's 1831-position model. Lineage: Eukaryota; Fungi; Glomeromycota; Glomeromycetes; Glomerales; Glomeraceae. The record is from RNAcentral.
AGCAGACCGCGGUUAAGUUUCCGAGCUCCAAUAGCGUAUAUUAAACGUUGUUGCAGUUAAAAAGGCGUCAUAGUUGAAUUUCGGGAUCAAUUAAUUGGUCGUGCCUAUGGUACGUACUGAUUUUAUUGGUUUCUCCCUUCUGACGAACCAUGAUGUCAUUAAUUUGGUGUCGUGGAGAAUCAGGACUGUUACUUUGAAAAAAAUUAGAGUGUUUAAAGCAGGCUAACGCUUGAAUACAUUAGCAUGGAAUAAUGAAAUAGGACGUUUGAUCCUAUUUUGUUGGUUUCUAGGAUCGACGUAAUGAUUAAUAGGGAUAGUUGGGGGCAUUAGUAUUCAAUUGUUAGAGGUGAAAUUCUUGGAUUUAUUGAAGACUAACUACUGCGAAAGCAUUUGCCAAGGAUGUUUUCAUUAAUCAAGAACGAAAGUUAGGGGAUCGAAGACGAUCAGAUACCGUCGUAGUCUUAACCAUAAACUAUGCCGACUAGGGAUCGGAUGAUGUUAAUUUUUUAAUGUACUCAGU